RNAcentral lists this small RNA (412 nucleotides) under Malus domestica (apple). RNAcentral's name for it is "sRNA MD11G0148200". The record is from RNAcentral. Lineage: Eukaryota; Viridiplantae; Streptophyta; Magnoliopsida; Rosales; Rosaceae.
UUUCUGCAUACUGUCUCUCUCUCUCCUCCCUCACGAAUCUCUCUCUCUCUGUCACUCUUCUUCUCCGUUCGAACAAACCAACCACAAAACAACCUUAAACUUCCACCAACGACGGAGUUAAGACCACCAUCGAACUCCUGGAGACUCCACGAUCACGUAGACACCAAUUUCAGGUAAGUUUUACUUCGGAAACCUAGAUUCUAAACUCCCGUGAAAGUGCACUGUUCAUGAUCUUCGAAUUGACUUUGUUUUAGGACAAUCCAAGCUCACAGUGAGCUUAGUGAGGUUCCAAGGAAGCUCGGAGUGCUUCGUUGGAAGUUUUUGGACGUAAGAACACGGAGAUCGAUAAGUUCAAAGUUUGGCCGGAGCUUUCGAGGCAUUUUCCGGCGAAUCCCCGGCGAGUUAGGCGUCG